This 26-nucleotide non-coding RNA is filed under the name Rattus norvegicus (Norway rat). Lineage: Eukaryota; Metazoa; Chordata; Mammalia; Rodentia; Muridae. The record is from RNAcentral.
UCAUUCAGAUGGGUCUUAGAAUGGGA